GAUUCAUUGCAUUUUCCCUUCUGAAGUUCUUUCUCUGUAAUUCCUACCAUCUAUUGGGAAAGAGAGUUAAAGUAUUCACAUUAUCCUUUUAAAAAGUAUGUUUAAAAACACAUGGGGUGAAUUCAGAAGAAUAGUACUUAAUUUCUGUGAGGGAAAACUAUAAUGUUUUCUUAAAUGAUGUAAAACAAGAUCUCAAAAAUGAAGAACUAAGUUAUGUUUCUAGAUGAAAAGAUUAUAAAAACGGGGUGCAGUGUCACACUUGUAAUCCCAGUGGCUCAGGAGGCCAAGGCAGAAGAAUCUGUUCAAAGCGAGACUCAGCAACUUAUCUAGGCCUUCAACAACUCAGUGUGACCUGUCUCUAAAUAAAAUACAAAAUAGGGAUAGGGAUGUGGCUCAGUGGUUAAGUGCCCCUGGGUUAAAUUCCCAGUACAAAAAAAAGUCAUUUUUUCACUAGUGGAUUUGAUAGGUUUUUGGGCGGUACGGUUGGACCCAGACCUAACCAAAAAAUAUUUUGAAGUUUAUGUAGCAUUUUAAAUGUAUGUUAAAAAGCCAGUAUAACAUAGUGCUUAAGAACACUAUUCUAGAGUCAGACUACCUGCGUUAAUGUGUUGAUUCUACUACUAGUUGAACGUUUUUAAUAGUUAUUUAAUCCCUUUUUGACUCAUGUUGUAACAUGAGGAUAUUGGUUCAUAUUUCUUAGAGUUGUUUGUGGAUAAAACAAGUUAUCAACUAAUCCAAUUUAAUAUAUGUGCCUUAUGCAUAAAAAUGCUUAAUAAAUUAUUUGCUGCCAGCAUUAUAAAAAUUUUACAUUUUACAAAAAAAAUUUAAAAGGACACAGUAAGG
RNAcentral lists this long non-coding RNA (843 nucleotides) under Marmota monax (woodchuck). The record is from RNAcentral. Lineage: Eukaryota; Metazoa; Chordata; Mammalia; Rodentia; Sciuridae.